This 606-nucleotide unclassified non-coding RNA is filed under the name Streptobotrys caulophylli. RNAcentral describes it as "sequence contains 18S rRNA gene, ITS1, 5.8S rRNA gene, ITS2, 28S rRNA gene". The stretch from base 192 to 345 matches the Rfam family "5.8S ribosomal RNA". Lineage: Eukaryota; Fungi; Ascomycota; Leotiomycetes; Helotiales; Sclerotiniaceae. The record is from RNAcentral.
GGAAGUAAAAGUCGUAACAAGGUUUCCGUAGGUGAACCUGCGGAAGGAUCAUUACAGAGUUCAUGCCCGAAAGGGUAGACCUCCCACCCUUGUGUAUUAUUACUUUGUUGCUUUGGCGCGCCGCUCGCGGGGCGCCAGAGGAAACCCAAACUCUUUUUAUUAAUGUCGUCUGAGUACUAUAUAAUAGUUAAAACUUUCAACAACGGAUCUCUUGGUUCUGGCAUCGAUGAAGAACGCAGCGAAAUGCGAUAAGUAAUGUGAAUUGCAGAAUUCAGUGAAUCAUCGAAUCUUUGAACGCACAUUGCGCCCCUUGGUAUUCCGGGGGGCAUGCCUGUUCGAGCGUCAUUUCAACCCUCAAGCUCAGCUUGGUAUUGAGUCCACGUCAGCAAUGGCCGGCUCUAAAAUCAGUGGCGGCGCCGCUGGGUCCUGAACGUAGUAAUAUCUCUCGUUACAGGUGCUCAACGUGCUUCUGCCAAAACCCAAAUUUUCUAUGGUUGACCUCGGAUCAGGUAGGGAUACCCGCUGAACUUAAGCAUAUCAAUAAGCGGAGGAAAAGAAACCAACAGGGAUUACCUCAGUAACGGCGAGUGAAGCGGUAAAAGCUCA